Molecule: transfer RNA, 66 nt
Filed under: Nomia chalybeata
Lineage: Eukaryota; Metazoa; Arthropoda; Insecta; Hymenoptera; Halictidae
Description: tRNA-Tyr
Source: RNAcentral
AAUAUUAUGCCUGAUUUAAAAGGGGUAAAUUGUAAAUUUACUAAUGAAUUGAUAAUUCUAAUAUUA